GGCGAACGCUGGCGGCGCGCCUAACACAUGCAAGUCGAACGGAGUCAAGAGGAGCUUGCUUUUCUUGACUUAGUGGCGAACGGGUGAGUAACGCGUGAGUAACCUGCCCUGGAGUGGGGGACAACAGUUGGAAACGACUGCUAAUACCGCAUAAGCCCACGGAUCCGCAUGGAUCUGCGGGAAAAGGAUUUAUUCGCUUCAGGAUGGACUCGCGUCCAAUUAGCUAGUUGGUGAGGUAACGGCCCACCAAGGCGACGAUUGGUAGCCGGACUGAGAGGUUGAACGGCCACAUUGGGACUGAGACACGGCCCAGACUCCUACGGGAGGCAGCAGUGGGGGAUAUUGCACAAUGGGGGAAACCCUGAUGCAGCGACGCCGCGUGGAGGAAGAAGGUUUUCGGAUUGUAAACUCCUGUCGUUAGGGACGAUAAUGACGGUACCUAACAAGAAAGCACCGGCUAACUACGUG
This 468-nucleotide ribosomal RNA is filed under the name uncultured bacterium. Its description in RNAcentral is "partial 16S ribosomal RNA". It matches the Rfam family "Bacterial small subunit ribosomal RNA", at positions 28 to 507 of the family's 1533-position model. The record is from RNAcentral.